UACGUAGGGGGCUAGCGUUGUCCGGAAUCAUUGGGCGUAAAGAGCGUGUAGGCGGCCCGGUAAGUCCGCUGUAAAAGUCAAAGGCUCAACCUUUGAAUGUCAGUGGAUACUGCCGGGCUAGAGUCCGGAAGAGGCGAGUGGAACUCCUGGUGUAGCGGUGAAAUGCGCAGAUAUCGGGAAGAACACCUAUGGCGAAGGCAGCUCUCUGGGACGGUACUGACGCUGAGACGCGAAAGCGUGGGGAGCGAACAGG
RNAcentral lists this ribosomal RNA (253 nucleotides) under uncultured bacterium. RNAcentral's name for it is "partial 16S ribosomal RNA". It matches the Rfam family "Bacterial small subunit ribosomal RNA", at positions 524 to 776 of the family's 1533-position model. The record is from RNAcentral.